AGCUUUGUGCAGUGGCAGUAUCAUAGGCAAUGAGGUUUAUCUGAGGCAUGAUUAUUGCUAAUAGAACUCGAGGCAGCUAGAGAC
Small nuclear RNA from Heterocephalus glaber (naked mole-rat), 84 nucleotides. Its record names the gene U4. It matches the Rfam family "U4 spliceosomal RNA". From Rfam's summary of the family: U4 small nuclear RNA (U4 snRNA) is a component of the major U2-dependent spliceosome. The structure of U4 snRNA from yeast and human has been reported. NCBI's taxonomy places the organism in Eukaryota, Metazoa, Chordata, Mammalia, Rodentia, Bathyergidae. The record is from Ensembl.